RNAcentral lists this ribosomal RNA (1047 nucleotides) under Escherichia coli. RNAcentral's name for it is "partial 23S ribosomal RNA". It matches the Rfam family "Bacterial large subunit ribosomal RNA", at positions 532 to 1584 of the family's 2925-position model. The record is from RNAcentral. Lineage: Bacteria; Pseudomonadati; Pseudomonadota; Gammaproteobacteria; Enterobacterales; Enterobacteriaceae.
AGGGGAGUGAAAAAGAACCUGAAACCGUGUACGUACAAGCAGUGGGAGCCUCUUUAUGGGGUGACUGCGUACCUUUUGUAUAAUGGGUCAGCGACUUAUAUUCUGUAGCAAGGUUAACCGAAUAGGGGAGCCGAAGGGAAACCGAGUCUUAACUGGGCGUUAAGUUGCAGGGUAUAGACCCGAAACCCGGUGAUCUAGCCAUGGGCAGGUUGAAGGUUGGGUAACACUAACUGGAGGACCGAACCGACUAAUGUUGAAAAAUUAGCGGAUGACUUGUGGCUGGGGGUGAAAGGCCAAUCAAACCGGGAGAUAGCUGGUUCUCCCCGAAAGCUAUUUAGGUAGCGCCUCGUGAAUUCAUCUCCGGGGGUAGAGCACUGUUUCGGCAAGGGGGUCAUCCCGACUUACCAACCCGAUGCAAACUGCGAAUACCGGAGAAUGUUAUCACGGGAGACACACGGCGGGUGCUAACGUCCGUCGUGAAGAGGGAAACAACCCAGACCGCCAGCUAAGGUCCCAAAGUCAUGGUUAAGUGGGAAACGAUGUGGGAAGGCCCAGACAGCCAGGAUGUUGGCUUAGAAGCAGCCAUCAUUUAAAGAAAGCGUAAUAGCUCACUGGUCGAGUCGGCCUGCGCGGAAGAUGUAACGGGGCUAAACCAUGCACCGAAGCUGCGGCAGCGACACUAUGUGUUGUUGGGUAGGGGAGCGUUCUGUAAGCCUGUGAAGGUGUACUGUGAGGUAUGCUGGAGGUAUCAGAAGUGCGAAUGCUGACAUAAGUAACGAUAAAGCGGGUGAAAAGCCCGCUCGCCGGAAGACCAAGGGUUCCUGUCCAACGUUAAUCGGGGCAGGGUGAGUCGACCCCUAAGGCGAGGCCGAAAGGCGUAGUCGAUGGGAAACAGGUUAAUAUUCCUGUACUUGGUGUUACUGCGAAGGGGGGACGGAGAAGGCUAUGUUGGCCGGGCGACGGUUGUCCCGGUUUAAGCGUGUAGGCUGGUUUUCCAGGCAAAUCCGGAAAAUCAAGGCUGAGGCGUGAUGACGAGGCACUACGGUG